AACGAACGCUGGCGGCAGGCCUAACACAUGCAAGUCGAGCGGACAUCUUCGGAUGUUAGCGGCGGACGGGUGAGUAACGCGUGGGAACGUGCCCUUUGCUUCGGAAUAGCCUCGGGAAACUGGGAGUAAUACCGGAUGUACCCUUUGGGGGAAAGAUUUAUCGGCAAAGGAUCGGCCCGCGUUGGAUUAGGUAGUUGGUGGGGUAAUGGCCUACCAAGCCGACGAUCCAUAGCUGGUUUGAGAGGAUGAUCAGCCACACUGGGACUGAGACACGGCCCAGACUCCUACGGGAGGCGGCAGUGGGGAAUCUUAGACAAUGGGGGAAACCCUGAUCGAGCCAUGCCGCGUGAGCGAUGAAGGCCUUAGGGUUGUAAAGCUCUUUCACCGGGGAAGAUAAUGACGGUACCCGGAGAAGAAGCCCCGGCUAACUCCGUG
Molecule: ribosomal RNA, 435 nt
Filed under: uncultured bacterium
Lineage: Bacteria
Description: partial 16S ribosomal RNA
Rfam family: Bacterial small subunit ribosomal RNA
Source: RNAcentral